Gallus gallus (chicken) is the source of this 2555-nucleotide long non-coding RNA. NCBI's taxonomy places the organism in Eukaryota, Metazoa, Chordata, Aves, Galliformes, Phasianidae. The record is from Ensembl.
GGGAGCACACAUGCAUGCACAUACUGAUCCCCACGGAGCAGGAAUGAGGCUAUAAAAUUUGUUUUGCUUUAUCUGUGAACCCGUGCUUGCAGCAAUCACAACGAUUUAAAGACAAAAAGAUAAAUGAAUACAAGCUUAUGAGCUGAAAUGCAGCUAUUUUUCUUUGCCGAUCCCGAGCUAAGUGGAAGAAAAACCCACAGAGAUCAACACCAACACAAAAAAGAAACAUCUAUUUAACCUCUUUUUUCCCCUGUUGUUCUGCUCAUCUGGUGUAAAUUAAAGAAAAAAAAAAAAUCUUUUGAGAGCCGUGAUUGUUUUAACCUGCCAGUAACCCCCUUGAGUUCAUCAGAGCAAAAGACAGCAAAAGCCUGUUUAUUGUCCAGCAGGCAUCUACACAUGUUGUAAGCGAAGUUCCAUCUGGUCACAACAUCAUGGAUCAUCUGGGCAACAGCCAGGCUUCAUUUGCUUCAUGUCCUGGACAGCAUGAAGGCAGCCGGAUAGGAAUACGUGAAUGACUGACCAACCACAACCGAGCCGGCCCCGGAGGAUUACUCUAAUAAUAGCUCCUCACCACGGAGCAGUGGUGGCGGUGUGACUUGUUUUCUUUUUCUAAAUGACUCAAGCUGGGCUCUGUGGGAUUGCUGAGCUUUUCUAUUAGGUGCUGGCAGUGUACUGGAGGCACAGCUUGGCUUGCUUUAACAGAACCGGAGGACUAUGUUGACUGCAUGAAAUUCUUCCCAAAACGUUCUUGUAAGCAAAGACCCAAAGAAACCCUGUGCAUAACGGCUGCUUUUCCAGGCUUGUACUGUGUGUAUUUCACAGCAAAGCAACGAGUACAAAACACCAUCAUACCAGAGUUUUACAAAUGCUUACCCUUGGAGAAGAUGUCUGUUUUGCGCAAGGGCAAAAAAGAGAUAGUGAAUGAUCGACUUAAUUCUGUUUAACCCAAAGUCUGAGCACCUCAGGGAGAUGCCCUGCGGCCAACAUUGUCUCCAGACAUCCAUAACACACUGAAGUACCAAAUGAGAUGUCCACAGCACUGCUGCUGCCCCGAUUGCCACAUCUCUUCUCGUCUCAAGUGCUCUUAUGUAAGCAGUGACGUAUUUGCUUCUGAACAAUAUUCUGAGUCGUCAGAGAAAUGCGUGUUCCAUUUACUCUGCAAAGGAUUGAAACAGAAUGCAAAAGUGAUGCUGAGCGGGCUGCAAUUGCAGUCUGCAGUUCUCUGGGCAAUUCCAGAGGGAUUGCAGCAGUUGUUAUUGAAUAGCAUUUGUUGGAAUGGUGAAUACAACUCGAAAUGCUGAGCAGGAAUGAAGCUACUUUUGUUUGUCUGAUAACGCCAAGGGGCAGCUUGAAACUAACUUCAAAAUGCACAUCGAAUCUUGUCAUUCUGGAUAGAGCAUACUUGAUGUACUUGAUGUUCAACAAAAUGCAACUUUAAUGAAUUAAUGAAUGGAUCCCCAAAAUGUUUUUGGAGCCAUAACUUACCAUACAUACAAUAACGGAAUAAUAUAAUAGGAACCUCUGCCAUCAGAAGAAAAACAGUGAAAACACAAGAGAAGGGAGUUAAGAAGCUCUGGAUACAAGAUUUUUGUUAACCCUACUCGGUUGCUGUAACAAGCUAGAGCCCUGAAUGUGGACCAUCACCUUCCUGCUGGAAAGGCCCAGGGAAUCAGGGAAUCCAAAGGAGUUGAAACCAUUUGUGUUGUUAAAAGCUCACGCCUCUGGACAUUAUGUAUAAUGCUGUAGAUGCAAAGUAGCAAGGCAUUUGCAAGGAGUUUCAUAUAACAUACAUGGAAUUAUUUGUAUUUUUUUCAUUCUGUCUUGCAAACCCUUUUCCUAGUACUUAGAAGCAAACUGCAUGGAUGUGUACACAUUUGCACCAUGUGUGAAGGUGAAUUAAUUACAGUGCAGACUGCUUGAGAUGAGAGUGAUUAUGGCAGAGGAAAUGCGCACCAUCUCUUCACUCGUGGGGAAAUUUGAAUCAGGCGGCCGUAACGAAAAAUCUUCUGGAGCUUCCAUUGAACUUGAAGAUUGAAGUGAGAACUUCUGUUUUUCUGGAAAGAGCAGAGGCUAAGUCUUUUGAGGUUUGAUAAUGGGCAAAGACAAUGAUUAGAAAGGCCUUGUUCCUCUCAUAUUUGAUAACAGAUCCCUCUGGUUCAAGGUGGUCAAGCUUCAGUAUUGCUGCUGCCUACCACUGUUCUCUCUCCUCUUCCAAACCAUGAGCUGAUGGAUUGGAUGCUGUGGAGCAAGGCAAAUGGAAGCCUUUAUAAAGAAACAGCAGGGGCUGGACACUUAUGGAUGAGGUGUAUUGAGAAUUACAUCUAGUCUGAUGAGUGCAUGACAGCCUUGACUGACCUAUACUGGUGAUGGUCCUGCUUUGAGUGGGAGAUUGGACGAAAUGACCUCUGGGAAUCCCUUAAAACCAGCACAGCUCCUGUCCAGGAGUCCUGAACUGGUAGAAGCAUGUGUUGUCUACAUCUACAAUAAGGUCAUUUCAGUCAAAAUUAGCACGGUUUUAUACUGAACUUUUUGAAGAGUAAAAUUGAAAGAGGAAA